CCUACGGGUGGCAGCAGUGAGGAAUAUUGGUCAAUGGGCGGGAGCCUGAACCAGCCAAGUCGCGUGAGGGAAGACGGUCCUAUGGAUUGUAAACUUCUUUUGGCGGGGAGCAAUGCCGGGCACGCGUGCCCGGAGGGAGAGUACUCGCAGAUUACGCAUCGGCUAACUCCGUGCCAGCAGCGGCGGUACUACGGUGGAUGCGAGCGUUAGCCGGAUUUAUUGGGUUUAAGGGGUGCGUAGGCGGAUUUUUAAGUCAGCGGUAAAAUGUCCGGGCUCAACCUGGGCCGGCAGUGGAAACUGGGGAUCUUGAGUGGACGAGAGGUAGGCGGAAUGCGUGGUGUAGCGGUGAAAUGCAUAGAUAUCACGAAGAACUCCGAUUGCGAAGGCAGCAUACCGGCGCCCGACUGACGCUGAGGCACGAAAGCGUGGGGAUCGAACAGGAUUAGAUACCCCAGUAGUC
This 460-nucleotide ribosomal RNA is filed under the name uncultured bacterium. RNAcentral's name for it is "partial 16S ribosomal RNA". It matches the Rfam family "Bacterial small subunit ribosomal RNA", at positions 338 to 795 of the family's 1533-position model. The record is from RNAcentral.